GCUGGGUACUGUGGUGUGUACCUGCCAUCCCAGUUACUCGGGAGGCUGAGACAAAAGGCUCGCUGAAGUCCAGGGGUUCUGGGCUGUCAUGUGCUAUGUUUGGCAUCAAUAUAGUAACCUCCCAGGAGUGGGGGUGGGCGCAGCCACCAGGUUGCCUAAGAAGGGGUGAACUGGCCCAGGUCAGAAAUGGAGCAGGUCAGAAUUCCUGUGGUGAUCAGAAGUGUGACCACUCCUGAGAAUAGACAUGGCACUUCAGGCUGGGCAACAUAGCGAGACCCCAUCUUUA
Molecule: unclassified non-coding RNA, 286 nt
Organism: Callithrix jacchus (white-tufted-ear marmoset)
Lineage: Eukaryota; Metazoa; Chordata; Mammalia; Primates; Cebidae
Rfam family: Metazoan signal recognition particle RNA
About the family: The signal recognition particle (SRP) is a universally conserved ribonucleoprotein. It is involved in the co-translational targeting of proteins to membranes. The eukaryotic SRP consists of a 300-nucleotide 7S RNA and six proteins: SRPs 72, 68, 54, 19, 14, and 9.
Source: Ensembl